Molecule: transfer RNA, 71 nt
Filed under: Ictidomys tridecemlineatus (thirteen-lined ground squirrel)
Lineage: Eukaryota; Metazoa; Chordata; Mammalia; Rodentia; Sciuridae
Description: Spermophilus tridecemlineatus (thirteen-lined ground squirrel) tRNA
Rfam family: tRNA
About the family: Transfer RNA (tRNA) molecules are approximately 80 nucleotides in length. Their secondary structure includes four short double-helical elements and three loops (D, anti-codon, and T loops).
Source: Rfam by way of RNAcentral
GGGGCUGUAGCUCCGUGGUAGAGUGCCUGCCUAGCAUGCAUGAGGCACUGGGUUCCAUCCUCAGCAUCCCA